This is a long non-coding RNA of Haliotis rubra (blacklip abalone), 254 nucleotides long. RefSeq lists it as uncharacterized. The record is from RefSeq and is a predicted model, not a curated record. The transcript has 3 exons. NCBI's taxonomy places the organism in Eukaryota, Metazoa, Mollusca, Gastropoda, Lepetellida, Haliotidae.
GAAAAUGGAAAGUUCUUCUUGAAACACACAGAUGUAAUCAUGAUACAGAUAUUUCUGAUUCACCCAAUCUGGUGGAUAUGGAACAUCCAGAGCCUACAACCAUGCAGCAGGAAUCUGAUAUUCUUGUCCAACAAAGUGACACCAUGGGUCCUCUGCCACUGGAUAUGCUGGCUCUAGCUGCAGAGAACAAGCAACUCAAAGAAGAUAUGGCCAAACUGAUCCUAGAAAAGGAAGAGCUCAUGCGUGCCCAGCAG